This 484-nucleotide ribosomal RNA is filed under the name uncultured bacterium. Its description in RNAcentral is "partial 16S ribosomal RNA". The stretch from base 20 to 328 matches the Rfam family "Bacterial small subunit ribosomal RNA", at positions 47 to 358 of the family's 1533-position model. The record is from RNAcentral.
AUUGAACGCUGGCGGCAGGCCUAACACAUGCAAGUCGAGCGGAUGAAGGGAGCUUGCUCCUGGAUUCAGCGGCGGACGGGUGAGUAAUGCCUAGGAAUCUGCCUGGUAGUGGGGGAUAACGUCCGGAAACGGGCGCUAAUACCGCAUACGUCCUGAGGGAGAAAGUGGGGGAUCUUCGGACCUCACGCUAUCAGAUGAGCCUAGGUCGGAUUAGCUAGUUGGUGGGGUAAAGGCCUACCAAGGCGACGAUCCGUAACUGGUCUGAGAGGAUGAUCAGUCACAGGGGAAAGGAGAGACGGUGAAGAGGCAUAAGGGAGGGAGCAGGGGGGAAGAGGGGACAGUGGGGGAAAGUAGGAGACAGCAAGGGAGAGGGUGGGAAGAAGGUGUUCGGAUUGUAAAGAAGGUUAAGGUGGGAGAAAGGGAAGUAAGUGAAUACCUUGAGGGGGGGACGGUAAGAAGAGAAGAAGAAACGGCUAACGAAGGG